GCUAAUUAAGUUUAUGUCUGAAUUUUUAAUUUGUAAUUAGAAGGUUUUUUAGCUG
Molecule: transfer RNA, 55 nt
Filed under: Metastrongylus salmi
Lineage: Eukaryota; Metazoa; Nematoda; Chromadorea; Rhabditida; Metastrongylidae
Description: tRNA-Thr
Source: RNAcentral